AGAAGAGAGUAACGAAAACCUAGAGUACUAUUCACCUUCAUCUUGUUUUGCUUGUAACUUUUGAUCCGGAGCUCCGAUUGACGAGCCGUUUGCAGCCACGCGUAGCUCUCCUUAUCCUCUUCAAUUAUAUCUAAUAUUUGUGGGAUGCUCUAGCAUGAAUUUCUAGUGGGUUCCAUCUAUAUUUCAUGUGGGUUAAGAGAAUUGUUGGGGCUGAAUUUGAUAUGAAGUAGAAUUUGAUUGGCAAAUUUGGGUGGUGGACCUUGGAGAUUGAGCUAGGCAAGGCUUCAAGGGUUGG
Non-coding RNA from Arachis ipaensis, 295 nucleotides. The record is from RefSeq and is a predicted model, not a curated record. Lineage: Eukaryota; Viridiplantae; Streptophyta; Magnoliopsida; Fabales; Fabaceae.